Molecule: long non-coding RNA, 1488 nt
Organism: Astatotilapia calliptera (eastern happy)
Lineage: Eukaryota; Metazoa; Chordata; Actinopteri; Cichliformes; Cichlidae
Source: Ensembl
CUGUUAUAUGUCAAUAGAAACAUGUCUCACAAAUUAAAGUGUCUUGUAAAAUAUUUGUGGGGUUUUUUUCAAGAAUUUUCUUCCCAAAUCUAUUACAUGCCAACUGUAAAUUGUUAUUUCUGCUAAAACCUUAACUUAAAUGUGUAUAUGGUGUUUAUCUGUUUCUCUCUCUGUUUUAGAUGCACUUAUCAAUCUGGAAUUCGGGCUUAAAGCCAGAAUUGCAGGAAUGCAACACGUGUUGCAGAGGACUCUUUCACUGCCCUCUGUGCCCCACUUUCAGCCCUACUGUCAGGGCAAAGAUUGAGGAGCAUCUAAGUGUGCAUAUAAAAAAAUGCUUUGCCUUUCAAAGAUAAAAUGAUAUGCCGGUGCAGGCUGCCUUGUAGGACAACAGGACACUUUCACUGCCCUGUCUGUAAGAUUACAAUCAUACGGCGUGGGGAUAUGGCAAGGCAUUUAUUGUCUUGUCAGCAUUCUUCAAUACCAAGUCAGCCACCAUUAUCAGGACUGCUCCCCGCUGAACUCUCCGAGGAGACCCGUAUUCCUCCGGCAGUACUCUUCGAGGAGCCCCGUUUCCCCCCCAAGCUGAUGGAAAGUCCUUGAAAAUGACAUGCCCUCACUGUGGCCUUACUCUUCGUAGCUCUGGCAAGCUAUUUGCACACUGGCGAGAGGAAGCCAAAGCUGUGCUUGAAGGACAACACGUGCCCAUUUUCAGACUGAAAAAGCACAAGUUCCAGGAAGUCAGUCAAGAGCCAGCAGUUGUUGAAGAUCUGCGUCCUGCUGUGCAGUGGGUUGUCCAAAAUAAGGCACUUUUCUGUGGACAUGUAACAAUGCCCAAAUAUCUGUCCUUAAAUCAAGGGGACCAGCAGAGGGUCUUAAUAGACAUGUCAGAGGAAGAAGACACUGGAGCAAGGGACUUGUUCCUCUUUGUUUUUCAGUUUGCAGAGGACAUGGAGCUCUUUUUGAAAGCAUGUGCUGAUGAGCAGGGGCUAAGGGUCAGUGCUAUGUUUGACAUGUAAUGGACAAAUGAAGGCACUGGCUGUGUUUGUUUGUUUGUUUAAUAUGUUGUUGUUGUUGUUUUUUUGUUUUGUUUUUUGCGUAGUACAAAAUUCCAAUUAAACUUAUUUCAAAAUGUUGUUCACUUUAUUCUGUGUCCAUACUUAUAAUAAAGGAUUACAGUGUAACAGCAUUAAAUGUAAAUGUAACAGCAUUUUUUUUUAACUUGUAAUUUCAAAAUAAAAAGCUUAUUGUUGAUAUUAACAGUAAAGAAUUGCAAUCAAUAAUAUUUUUAUACAUUUUAAACAUUAACACUCUGGGCUCUAUCCUGGCCAUCUGUGGACACUUCACUUAUUCUUUUUUUUGACUACUGCACUGCAGUGGACCAAAAGAAUGACACAGGUUUGAUCUUAAGGAUCUAAUAGUUGUGUGUGUUGUGCAUGACAUUGCCACACAAAUAUGUAUUUGCAAGAUAGAGUAGAAUAAAUUAUGACG